This 507-nucleotide ribosomal RNA is filed under the name uncultured bacterium. Its description in RNAcentral is "bacterial SSU rRNA". It matches the Rfam family "Bacterial small subunit ribosomal RNA", at positions 975 to 1482 of the family's 1533-position model. The record is from RNAcentral.
CUGGUCUUGACAUCCACGGAAGUUUUCAGAGAUGAGAAUGUGCCUUCGGGAACCGUGAGACAGGUGCUGCAUGGCUGUCGUCAGCUCGUGUUGUGAAAUGUUGGGUUAAGUCCCGCAACGAGCGCAACCCUUAUCCUUUGUUGCCAGCGGUCCGGCCGGGAACUCAAAGGAGACUGCCAGUGAUAAACUGGAGGAAGGUGGGGAUGACGUCAAGUCAUCAUGGCCCUUACGACCAGGGCUACACACGUGCUACAAUGGCGCANACAAAGAGAANCGACCUCGCGAGAGCAAGCGGACCUCAUAAAGUGCGUCGUAGUCCGGAUUGGAGUCUGCAACUCGACUCCAUGAAGUCGGAAUCGCUAGUAAUCGUGGAUCAGAAUGCCACGGUGAAUACGUUCCCGGGCCUUGUACACACCGCCCGUCACACCAUGGGAGUGGGUUGCAAAAGAAGUAGGUAGCUUAACCUUCGGGAGGGCGCUUACCCCUUUGUGAUUCAUGACUGGGGUG